RNAcentral lists this ribosomal RNA (406 nucleotides) under uncultured bacterium. RNAcentral describes it as "partial 16S ribosomal RNA". It matches the Rfam family "Bacterial small subunit ribosomal RNA", at positions 30 to 526 of the family's 1533-position model. The record is from RNAcentral.
AUUGAACGCUGGCGGCAGGCCUAACACAUGCAAGUCGAACGAGUGGCGGACGGGUGAGUAAUGUCUGGGAAACUGCCUAGUGGAGGGGGAUAACUACUGGAAACGGUAGCUAAUACCGCAUACCAUCGGAUGUGCCCAGAUGGGAUUAGCUAGUAGGUGGGGUAAAGGCUCACCAAGGCGACGAUCCCUAGCUGGUCUGAGAGGAUGACCAGCCACACUGGGACUGAGACACGGCCCAGACUCCUACGGGAGGCAGCAGUGGGGAAUAUUGGACAAUGGGGGAAAGCCUGAUGCAGCCAUGCCGCGUGUAUGAAGAAGGCCUUCGGGUUGUAAAGUACUUUCAGCGGGGAAGCGGUACCCGCAGAAGAAGCACCGGCUAACUACGUGCCAGCAGCCGCGGUAAUUC